This 513-nucleotide ribosomal RNA is filed under the name uncultured bacterium. RNAcentral describes it as "bacterial SSU rRNA". It matches the Rfam family "Bacterial small subunit ribosomal RNA", at positions 387 to 918 of the family's 1533-position model. The record is from RNAcentral.
UCUAGCCAUGCCGCGUGAGUGAUGAAGGCCUUAGGGUCGUAAAGCUCUUUCGCCUGUGAUGAUAAUGACAGUAGCAGGUAAAGAAACCCCGGCUAACUCCGUGCCAGCAGCCGCGGUAAUACGGAGGGGGUUAGCGUUGUUCGGAAUUACUGGGCGUAAAGCGCGCGUAGGCGGAUCAGAAAGUUGGGGGUGAAAUCCCGGGGCUCAACCCCGGAACUGCCUCCAAAACUCCUAGUCUAGAGUUCGAGAGAGGUGAGUGGAAUUCCGAGUGUAGAGGUGAAAUUCGUAGAUAUUCGGAGGAACACCAGUGGCGAAGGCGGCUCACUGGCUCGAUACUGACGCUGAGGUGCGAAAGUGUGGGGAGCAAACAGGAUUAGAUACCCUGGUAGUCCACACCGUAAACGAUGAAUGCCAGUCGUCGGAUAGUAUACUAUUCGGUGACACACCUAACGGAUUAAGCAUUCCGCCUGGUGAGUACGGUCGCAAGAUUAAAACUCAAAGGAAUUGACGGGG